Molecule: ribosomal RNA, 455 nt
Filed under: uncultured organism
Description: partial 16S ribosomal RNA
Rfam family: Bacterial small subunit ribosomal RNA
Source: RNAcentral
ACGUACACUCCUGCGGGAGGCAGCAGUGGGGAAUCUUGCGCAAUGGGCGAAAGCCUGACGCAGCCAUGCCGCGUGAAUGAUGAAGGUCUUAGGAUUGUAAAAUUCUUUCACCGGGGACGAUAAUGACGGUACCCGGAGAAGAAGCCCCGGCUAACUUCGUGCCAGCAGCCGCGGUAAUACGAAGGGGGCUAGCGUUGCUCGGAAUUACUGGGCGUAAAGGGAGCGUAGGCGGACAUUUAAGUCAGGGGUGAAAUCCCGGGGCUCAACCUCGGAAUUGCCUUUGAUACUGGGUGUCUUGAGUAUGAGAGAGGUGUGUGGAACUCCGAGUGUAGAGGUGAAAUUCGUAGAUAUUCGGAAGAACACCAGUGGCGAAGGCGACACACUGGCUCAUUACUGACGCUGAGGCUCGAAAGCGUGGGGAGCAAACAGGAUUAGAAACCCUAGUAGUCCCAUGA